RNAcentral lists this unclassified non-coding RNA (313 nucleotides) under uncultured fungus. RNAcentral describes it as "partial contains 5.8S ribosomal RNA and internal transcribed spacer 2". The stretch from base 1 to 133 matches the Rfam family "5.8S ribosomal RNA", at positions 22 to 154 of the family's 154-position model. The record is from RNAcentral. Lineage: Eukaryota; Fungi.
UGGUUCUGGCAUCGAUGAAGAACGCAGCGAAAUGCGAUAAGUAAUGUGAAUUGCAGAAUUCAGUGAAUCAUCGAAUCUUUGAACGCACAUUGCGCCCCUUGGUAUUCCGAGGGGCAUGCCUGUUCGAGCGUCAUUUCACCACUCAAGCCUGGCUUGGUAUUGGGCGUCGCGGGUUUCCCGCGCGCCCUAAAGUCUUUCCGGCUGAGCGACCCGUCUCUAAGCGUUGUGGCAACUAUUCGCGGCGAGGUCGGGUGGCGGCGGCCGUUAAAUCUCCUCAAAGGUUGACCUCGGAUCAGGUAGGGAUACCCGCUGA